GAAGUGGCUGAGGUUGGUUAGAGCCUGGUGCUGAUAAUCCCAUGGUUGCAGGUUUGAUCCCUGCAUGGAACA
This is a non-coding RNA of Podarcis lilfordi (Lilford's wall lizard), 72 nucleotides long. The record is from the annotation of a GenBank genome assembly. NCBI's taxonomy places the organism in Eukaryota, Metazoa, Chordata, Lepidosauria, Squamata, Lacertidae.